This 386-nucleotide long non-coding RNA is filed under the name Polistes fuscatus (common paper wasp). RNAcentral's name for it is "uncharacterized LOC122516587". The record is from RNAcentral. Lineage: Eukaryota; Metazoa; Arthropoda; Insecta; Hymenoptera; Vespidae.
UUAUUAAUGAAUUCGCUUGGAUUUAUAUAUAUAUAUAAACGUAUUCAUCCUAUCUGUUUUAUAGUACAAUUACGAGGCCCGUGGAAGAUAGAAAUCACUAGCCAAGAUGAAACUAACAAACUUUCUCGUGAUCUUGAUGGUUGUAAUACUGGCAGUUUGUGCACAUGCUGCUCCAAAGAGUCGUGGGCUCCCUCAGUUCCCUGGCUAUGGAACAUUCAAUCCCAAAGGCAAACUGCCUGUGCCAUUUCCAAAAGGCUUCUGAUUUGACAACAAAUGUUAUAACGCAAGAAGAUACCGUUAAAUAACACUGACUUUUAUUCUCAAUUCGUAUGUAACAUCACGGUAAAUAGAAUAGAAAGAGCAUAAAAUAUUAUAAAUAUUUCAAA